AUGAACGCUGGCGGCGUGCCUAAUACAUGCAAGUCGAGCGAACGGACGAGAAGCUUGCUUUUCUGAUGUUAGCGGCGGACGGGUGAGUAACACGUGGAUAACCUACCUAUAAGACUGGGAUAACUUCGGGAAACCGGAGCUAAUACCGGAUAAUAUUUUGAACCGCAUGGUUCAAAAGUGAAAGACGGUCUUGCUGUCACUUAUAGAUGGAUCCGCGCUGCAUUAGCUAGUUGGUAAGGUAACGGCUUACCAAGGCAACGAUGCAUAGCCGACCUGAGAUGGUGAUCGGCCACACUGGAACUGAGACACGGUCCAGACUCCUACGGGAGGCAGCAGUAGGGAAUCUUCCGCAAUGGGCGAAAGCCUGACGGAGCAACGCCGCGUGAGUGAUGAAGGUCUUCGGAUCGUAAAACUCUGUUAUUAGGGAAGAACAUAUGUGUAAGUAACUGUGCACAUCUUGACGGUACCUAAUCAGAAAGCCACGGCUAACUACGUG
This 496-nucleotide ribosomal RNA is filed under the name uncultured bacterium. RNAcentral's name for it is "partial 16S ribosomal RNA". It matches the Rfam family "Bacterial small subunit ribosomal RNA", at positions 29 to 507 of the family's 1533-position model. The record is from RNAcentral.